CCUGCGCGUGAGCGUGACGAAUGGAUCAAGCGUCUUAAGGGCAUCUGGUGGAUGCCUUGGCACUGAGAGGCGAUGAAGGACGUGGCACGCUGCGAUAAGUCAUGGGGAGCUGCGAGCAAGCUUUGAUCCGUGAAUUUCCGAAUGGGGAAACCCACCUAGCAAUAGGUAUCCCAAACUGAAUACAUAGGUUUGGGAAGCGAACCCGGGGAACUGAAACAUCUAAGUACCCGGAGGAAAGGACAUCAACCGAGACUCCGCUAGUAGUGGCGAGCGAACGCGGACCAGGCCAGUGGUCAAUUCUACAUAACUGGAACCGUCUGGAAAGUCGGGCCAAAGCGGGUGAUAGCCCCGUACAGGUAAAUCGGAAUUGAUCCUCGAGUAGGGCGGGACACGUGAAAUCCUGUCUGAACAUGGGGGGACCACCCUCCAAGCCUAAGUACUCCUCAGUGACCGAUAGUGAACCAGUACCGUGAGGGAAAGGUGAAAAGCACCCCGACGAGGGGAGUGAAACAGCACCUGAAACCGGAUGCCUACAAACAGUCGGAGCCUCCUUGCGGGGUGACGGCGUACCUUUUGUAUAAUGGGUCAGCGACUUACAGUCGGCAGCAAGCUUAAGGCGAUAGCUGGAGGCGUAGCGAAAGCGAGUCUGAAUAGGGCGCUUUAGUUGCCGGUUGUAGACCCGAAACCUGAUGAUCUAGCCAUGGCCAGGUUGAAGGUGCAGUAACAUGCACUGGAGGACCGAACUCACGCCUGUUGAAAAAGUCGGAGAUGAGCUGUGGCUAGGGGUGAAAGGCCAAUCAAAUCAGGAAAUAGCUGGUUCUCCGCGAAAGCUAUUUAGGUAGCGCGUCGGAUGGUUACCGCCGGGGGUAGAGCACUGGAUGGGCUAGGGGGGCGCAAGCCUUACCAAACCUAACCAAACUCCGAAUACCGGUGAGUAUAGUCCGGCAGGCAGACGGUCGGUGCUAAGGUCGAUCGUCAAGAGGGAAAGAGCCCAGACCGCCAGCUAAGGUCCCCAAGUGGUGGCUAAGUGGGAAAGGAUGUGGGAAGGCCAUGACAACCAGGAGGUUGGCUUAGAAGCAGCCAUCCUUUAAAGAAAGCGUAAUAGCUCACUGGUCUAGAUAAGCCGGCCUGCGCCGAAAAUGUAACGGGGCUUAAGCCACCCACCGAAGCUGCGGGUUCAAUCGCAAGAUUGAGCGGUAGCGGAGCGUUCCGUAGGCCGUCGAAGGUGUGUCGCGAGGCAUGCUGGAGGUAUCGGAAGUGCGAAUGCUGACAUGAGUAGCGACAAAGAGUGUGAGAAACACUCUCGCCGAAAGUCCAAGGGUUCCUGCGCAAGGUUAAUCCACGCAGGGUGAGCCGGCCCCUAAGGCGAGGCCGAAAGGCGUAGUCGAUGGGAACCACGUUAAUAUUCGUGGGCCAGCGGGUGAGUGACGGAUCUGAAAACCAGUGUGCCCUUAUCGGAUUGGGUGCGCUGCGGACAGGUUCCAGGAAAUAGCCCCCGCAUAAGACCGUACCCGAAACCGACACAGGUGGACAGGUAGAGUAUACCAAGGCGCUUGAGAGAACGGUGUUGAAGGAACUCGGCAAAUUACUCGCGUAACUUCGGGAUAAGCGAGCCCCGUUUCUGGGCAACCAGGGGCGGGGGACACAAACCAGGGGGUAGCGACUGUUUACCAAAAACACAGGGCUCUGCGAAGCCACACAAGGCGACGUAUAGGGUCUGACGCCUGCCCGGUGCCGGAAGGUUAAAAGGAGGUGUGCAAGCACUGAAUUGAAGCCCCGGUAAACGGCGGCCGUAACUAUAACGGUCCUAAGGUAGCGAAAUUCCUUGUCGGGUAAGUUCCGACCUGCACGAAUGGCGUAACGACUUCCCCACUGUCUCCAACACCGACUCAGCGAAAUUGAAUUCCCCGUGAAGAUGCGGGGUUCCCGCGGUCAGACGGAAAGACCCUAUGAACCUUUACUGCAACUUUGCAGUGGCGUUAGGAAUGGCAUGUGUAGGAUAGGUGGGAGGCUUUGAAGCAUGGGCGCCAGCUCGUGUGGAGCCGUCCUUGAAAUACCACCCUUGCAAUUCUUGACGUCUAACCGAGCC
This 2089-nucleotide ribosomal RNA is filed under the name Rhodospirillum sp. SL38. RNAcentral's name for it is "bacterial LSU rRNA". It matches the Rfam family "Bacterial large subunit ribosomal RNA", at positions 1 to 2232 of the family's 2925-position model. Lineage: Bacteria; Pseudomonadati; Pseudomonadota; Alphaproteobacteria; Rhodospirillales; Rhodospirillaceae. The record is from RNAcentral.